GGGACCGGGCCCAAACGAUUUUCUUACCGUGAGCUGGUAAUCGCCACCAACAACUUUGCAAAUCGCGACAAGCUGGGGGAAGGAGGUUUCGGUUCGGUAUACAGAGGACACAUAAAGGACCUAAGUCUUGAUGUGGCGAUAAAGAGAGUGUCCAAAAGUUCGAAACAGGGGAGGAAAGAGUACGUCUCUGAGGUGAGCAUCAUAAGUCGUCUCAGGCAUCGUAACCUUGUACAACUCAUUGGAUGGUGUCAUGGUCGUGGCGAGCUUCUCCUGGUCUAUGAGCUAAUGCCCAAUGGUAGCCUUACCGCACAUCUUUACAACAUAGUCAUAGACAACAAGUUAUCAUGGCCCACGAGACAUGAAAUUGUGCUUGGGAUUGGUUAUGCACUUCUGUAUCUCCAUCAAGAAUGGGAGCAAUGUGUAUUGCAUAGGGACAUCAAACCAAGCAAUGUGAUGCUGGGCGCGUCCUUCAACGCUAAGCUUGGUGAUUUCGGACUCGCUAGGCUCGUCAACCAUAGCCAAGGAUCACACACAACGGAGCUUGCCGGCACCACAGGGUACAUGGACCCAGAGUGCAUGCGCGUAGGCAGGGCGAGCAUCGAGUCAGACAUCUACAGCUUUGGUGUAGUCCUACUCGAGAUCUCCACUGGUCGUAGACCCGUUGUGGUUUUGCCGGAUGACACCGUGAUCCACUUGGCGCAACGGGUGUCAGAGUUGUAUGACCAAGGAAGGAUUCUUGACGCGGUAGACCAGCAGCUAAAUGGGGAGUUCGACGUUGAAGAAAUGGAACGUGUGAUGGUGGUCGGGCUCUUGUGUACAUGUCAUUACUCGAGCCUAAGGCCGUCCAUAAGGCAGGCCAUCAAUGCCUUGAGGUUCGAGGCUCCAUUGCCGAACCUCCUAUUGAAGAUGUCGUCGGUUGUCUCUCGAAGCAUUUCUCCUCCAUUUUUGCUUUCGCCUAAUCAGAACUCAGGACUGACACGUUGUGCCUCGGCUCCACUGAACAACGAAAUGCUUAAUUAG
RNAcentral lists this ribosomal RNA (1020 nucleotides) under Triticum aestivum (bread wheat). RNAcentral's name for it is "partial small subunit ribosomal RNA". Lineage: Eukaryota; Viridiplantae; Streptophyta; Magnoliopsida; Poales; Poaceae. The record is from RNAcentral.